UAAUACGUAGGUGGCAAGCGUUGUCCGGAUUUAUUGGGCGUAAAGCGCGCGCAGGCGGUCCGUUUAGUCCGAGGUGAAAUCUCCCGGCUCAACUGGGAGGGGUCUUCGGAUACUGGCGGACUCGAGGAGAGCAGAGGUGAGUGGAAUUCUGGGUGUAGUGGUGAAAUGCGUAGAUAUCCAGAGGAACACCAGUGGCGAAGGCGGCUCACUGGGCUCCACCUGACGCUGAGGCGCGAAAGCGUGGGGAGCGAACCGGAUUAGAUACCCGGGUAGUCCACGCUGUAAACGAUGGACACUAGGUGUGGGGGGUAUUGACCCCCUCUGCGCCGAAGCUAACGCAUUAAGUGUCCCGCCUGGGGAGUACGGCCGCAAGGCUA
RNAcentral lists this ribosomal RNA (377 nucleotides) under uncultured bacterium. RNAcentral describes it as "bacterial SSU rRNA". It matches the Rfam family "Bacterial small subunit ribosomal RNA", at positions 521 to 896 of the family's 1533-position model. The record is from RNAcentral.